GAUCAUAAAAGGACCUUGAGCCGGGACUCAAACUCUGUGUCUGAGGCACACCAUAUGUCAGAGCACUGCCCACAAGGCUCUGACAGUUUACCACUAUUUUUAACAGGGAAACUUUAAUAAAAAAAAAAAGAAGAACAAAAUGUUCUAAUAUUAUAUGUCAGAAAUGAGUCAUCAAUCUACAAUACAUAAGAAUAAUGAAGGUGCAAAACUUAUACAGUACAUGCCGUGCAUGGGAAAUAGGAUGAGAUUAUUAAUGUUCUUACUACAGGUAAGAAGCAGCGCAGGGCCGAGUGGUGUUGGAGCUGAACGAGGCCGCUGGUGAGAUUGCUAAUGAGAGACGAACGCGACACAUGCCUCGCGAGCAGCGGAACUUUUAUUAUGCUGCAGUCGCCGGCGUCGCUUCUUCCGGUCAAGCGUAUGAGCAUUUAAUGCUGAGGAGGACUAGAGUCUACAAGCAUCAGAAGAACUGGACUAAGAAGAACACAGCCUCAAGAUGCAGCCUUCUAAUUGAGGAGCACCCUAUGACUCAGCAACAUCUGUGUGUUUUUAGAACACAGAGGAUCUCUUGAGAAAAGCUCUGAGGAGGACAUACCAGGCUAAUCGGCCCACAGAUGCCUUCUUAUUUUUGCACAUCACAAAGACCACAGCAGGGCUCCAGACAACCAAAAUAUGCAACAUAAAUAUGUGACAAAAAUAAUAUAUUAAAACCAGAAGAGCUUUGAGUGUGUCCGUAUGUGGUUGUGUCUGAUAUCUCAUUAUCUGGCAAACACUCACUAGAGUGGAACAACGAACACGCCGCAAGCCAUGUCCGAUUUACACACACAAAAAAUUACUCUUAGCUUUAUUUAUAUCAGGUUGUAGGUUUAUGAGACUCACAUGAGUCUACUGAGUGGUUGUUUAAAGGAUUUGUUAUUGUUUUAUAUUUAAGGACUGUAAGGGACUCUUUAGUGAGUGAUUCUAUAUAUAUUUAGCUGGGUUUGCACUACAAAUGUUUCUUUUUUGCUAACAUAAAACCAUUGUUAGUGUUAAUGUAUACCAUGAAGGUUUGUGUGCAGAACUUGCCUCUCUCAAGUGUUACUUCAUUAUUGUAGAGGAGUGAGACAAAGUCACAGUGCAUGAUUGUGUCUGUAUUACUUUCAUUACUUUCAUUAAUGAACACUCACAAAACAUUAUUGUGUCUAAUUGUGUUUUCUGACACCUCUAUCCUCAGCAUGUUUUUACAGGUAGGCCUAAGAACUGCAAAGCAAACCAAACAAACCAAAAUAAUAAUAAA
Ctenopharyngodon idella (grass carp) is the source of this 1273-nucleotide long non-coding RNA. RefSeq lists it as uncharacterized. The record is from RefSeq and is a predicted model, not a curated record. The transcript has 3 exons. NCBI's taxonomy places the organism in Eukaryota, Metazoa, Chordata, Actinopteri, Cypriniformes, Xenocyprididae.